GACGAACGCUGGCGGCGUGCUUAACACAUGCAAGUCGAACGGUAAGGCCCUUCGGGGUACACGAGUGGCGAACGGGUGAGUAACACGUGGGUGAUCUGCCCUGCACUUCGGGAUAAGCCUGGGAAACUGGGUCUAAUACCGGAUAGGACCACUGCCUGUAUGGGUGGUGGUGGAAAGCUUUUGCGGUGUGGGAUGGGCCCGCGGCCUAUGAGCUUGUUGGUGGAGUGAUGGCCUACCAAGGCGACGACGGGUAGCCGGCCUGGGAGGGUGACCGGCCGCACUGGGACUUAGAUACGGCGCAGACACCUACGGGUUGCAGCAGUUUGGAAUGGUGCACAAUGGGCGCGAGCCUGAUUCAGCAACGCGGCGUGAGGGAUGGCGGCCUUCGGGUUGGAAACCUCUUUCAGCACCGACGAAGCGCAAGUGGCGGUAGGUGCAGAAGAAGGACCGGCCAACUGCGAGCCAGCAGCCGCGGUAA
RNAcentral lists this ribosomal RNA (478 nucleotides) under uncultured bacterium. RNAcentral describes it as "partial 16S ribosomal RNA". It matches the Rfam family "Bacterial small subunit ribosomal RNA", at positions 28 to 523 of the family's 1533-position model. The record is from RNAcentral.